RNAcentral lists this long non-coding RNA (370 nucleotides) under Brassica napus (rape). RNAcentral describes it as "long non-coding RNA (BNAP_LNC025230)". The record is from RNAcentral. Lineage: Eukaryota; Viridiplantae; Streptophyta; Magnoliopsida; Brassicales; Brassicaceae.
CAGGAUUUUGUAAUAUAUAAUCAUCUUAUUCCAUCUAAUAUAACUAUCUAAUUUCAGAGGGUUCUUUCCUAUUUUAAGCUCACUGGCAGGCAUGAAAAAAGACCACAAAAACUUUGGUGCAAAACCAUCUUUAAAGAUAACAAAACUUACACUCAACCAUGUCAAAACAAUAGAAUAGAUAACACGAUUCAUCUAGCCCUAGCCCUAGUCAGGUUAUUAACUCAGUCUUUAUUCUUUUUAUCUCAGCUUAGCCCUUGCUAAACUAAGUUUGAUUCCAGAAAUAAAAUAACCCUAAGGACUCUACCAUGCAAUAAUGUGAGUAUUCUACUCUAUAUGCAGACUCGAUCUACCCUAAAUUCCAAGUGGGACU